AUUGAACGCUGGCGGCAGGCUUAACACAUGCAAGUCGAGCGGGGUGAUGGUGCUUGCACUAUCACUUAGCGGCGGACGGGUGAGUAAUGCUUAGGAAUCUGCCUAUUAGUGGGGGACAACAUCUCGAAAGGGAUGCUAAUACCGCAUACGUCCUACGGGAGAAAGCAGGGGAUCACUUGUGACCUUGCGCUAAUAGAUGAGCCUAAGUCGGAUUAGCUAGUUGGUGGGGUAAAGGCCUACCAAGGCGACGAUCUGUAGCGGGUCUGAGAGGAUGAUCCGCCCCACUGGGACUGAGACACGGCCCAGACUCCUACGGGAGUCAGCAGUGGGGAAUAUUGGACAAUGGGGGGAACCCUGAUCCAGCCAUGCCGCGUGUGUGAAGAAGGCCUUAUGGUUGUAAAGGACUUUUGUCAGGGAGGAAAUCCCUAGUGCUAAUAACACUGGGGGAUGACAGUACCUGAAGAAUAAGCACCGGCUAACUACGUGCCAGCCGCCGCCGUAA
Molecule: ribosomal RNA, 502 nt
Filed under: uncultured bacterium
Lineage: Bacteria
Description: partial 16S ribosomal RNA
Rfam family: Bacterial small subunit ribosomal RNA
Source: RNAcentral